RNAcentral lists this unclassified non-coding RNA (20 nucleotides) under Chlamydomonas reinhardtii. Its description in RNAcentral is "small RNA Cre_3232". Lineage: Eukaryota; Viridiplantae; Chlorophyta; Chlorophyceae; Chlamydomonadales; Chlamydomonadaceae. The record is from RNAcentral.
UGGACGUCACCGUGCACGAC